GCAUUUCCGCAAUGACCUCAGGUCCAGACCUUGGUGCACCAUACAAAGUCCAUGAACACUGGGCAUACUGGCCUACAUGCGCUGCAAGCCGCAGAGAAGACAACUUACACUGGGCAGGGUGCCCAAGGCAACUGAGCGUGUUCCUGCACGGGGCAAAUCCAUAAGGGCUGAAGGGAGACGGGAAGUCGGAAGGAAGACAUGGAUACACACUUGAGCACAGCCAGAAGAGGAAGAACCACCUAUUCAAAUACCUGAGACACACUGCAAUAAUUUAGAAAGAUAAACAUCUUGAUUCCUAGAGAUAAUAAGAGCUGAAUGGCUGGCCUCAAAACCAAGCAUUUGUGACAAUUCUCGAAACAAGAACGUAUUACUCUCCGUUUCCACAACAAUUUACAUAUGAUUGCAAAGAAAACCUUUCUCCCUUCACAGUUGGAAAAUGUAUUCUAAACACGCUACUGGCAGCCUUGCCCUAGUACCAGAAAUCCUGGAGGAAGAUGGGCGAGUGGGUCCACUUGUCUGUUCUCCUGAGGGCAGCUGAGGGUCUUCAGCUGAGCCCGAGGCACUGGCUCCUUUUGAAUGAAUACACGGCUGACCUAGUUAUAAACACCUGCGAUGCAAAAGAAGGCCCCCUUCCCAGGGAUGAAUGGGCACAUUGGAGGCUAGAGCCAAAGCCGAGGGAAAGAAGACUGCAGGACUGGAUAGUCUCAUAUCACUGUAAAAGCACUUCUUUGAAAGGACAGGAGAGCAGGGGUUUUCUGAAAUAAUCUAGUUUCUGCUUGCCAGACAUUUUGCUUCUUGUUGCAGGCUGGAAAAGGAAAACAUAGGUUCCCCUAAGCAGACAGCAACCGUGAUGGAAAUUUCUCAUGCUCUCCAGUACAAAACAACUACCAUGCAUUCAUUCCUCUCCCUCCCUUUCCAAAAAAGCACCAGCUAAAAUGAAAACAACUGAGAUCCAACAAAAGGAGAGUGUCCCCUUCACGGACUGCACCUUGGUUCAAGUGGUCAAGUCAGAAAGGAGGUGUAGGUGACAAUGCAGGAGGCUGAUGGAGCUGCUGAAGCUAAAGACCUUGUGAAUGCCCUCUUACUUCUGGGGCAUGCACUGCUUCUAAGGGACUUGCACCCACCACUGUAACAAAGAGUAAUUUAGAUCUGUCUGCUACGUGUUCAGCUGUGAAUGAAUAAAAGGCUUUCCUUGGAUUGUGAAUCAUUACUUCAAAUACUACGUGUUGCCUGAUUUCUCCAGUGACCAACUUCUACGGUUUUAUAGUGAGUUGUACCACAUGUAGUGGUUUUCCACUAAAAUACUCUCAUGUACCUGGGAACUUCAUCUUUGACCUAAAGUCAGUUUUUAUUGCCCAUGAAUGCAGGAACUUGAGCACCUCAAAUGGAUGUGGCAAAAGCCAGAAGGAAAAAAAUAAAAUAAACCCCAGGUAUUAAAUCUCAGAAUUUCUAAAGCCAAUCUCAAGAUUACACUGUUUUGGAUGCUAACGUGACUUCUGUCAUAUUCAAGAGAAAAAGUAUGCAGGCGGUUAAUGUAAGUGCCAUAAACUGGCAAACCAAAUGAGUUGGUUUGCAGAAAAUAUGUUCUACAAAUAGCUUCCUUAGUCCACUGGUUAAUCUGUACAUUACUUCCAAAACCUAAGUGCCUUUUCAGGAAUGACACUUGGAUACCAAGUAUUUCCAGUCACACAUAAUCACUUUGCACACUGCUGUCACUGGCCUUUGGCCUAGGCAUGUAGAAGGGCGCUCCACCCUUUUUAGGACCCAUUCGUGGACCACACAGAGGCAGCAGCUCAGGGUCUAUGCUGUGUCCAUACUCUAACGUAGCUGAAGCAACAUCAGUGGCUUUUCUACAGGGCUGAAUACAGCCUACUGUUAUCAGUCAAACCACCCCAUCUAAUGCAACCCAUCCAAGGAGGAUUCUAUUGCCAGCCAACAGCCUAGAGCCAGACAGCAGCUCCUGCACCACAGCGCUUUCUGCGACUAAAUAGGGAAACAACCUCAGCUAGAUCAAAAGCAGUGAGCGGUCAGAGCUCCCUUGAGAUCUCCCAUACCCUUCCUACCAUUCGCAAAGUUAAUGGGCUUUGCAAAACUGAGCAGCCUUUGGGAGCACACAGUUUGGCUAGGCAACCACUGCCAUGCACAGUAAUGUUGGGAUCAGGAUAAAGUACAAGCGAACUUCUCACCACCUCACCUCCACAUCUGACCACUCGUGCUGUAUUUGCCCCCUCUUCCCUUGCACUUCUAGCCUCUAGUACUGAGAAACAAAGAUCAAGGAGACUCACGCUCCAAAGUGGAAGCACCACAGCGCUGCAAGAAUGGACAGAAACCUUCAAGUUCAGGGACAUUUUGAGCAGCAGCACUGAUGAUUUCUCAGAAACAGGCUCCAAAUUAGCCUCAUCAACCCUAUUUCAGAGCCACAAGAGGGCAAGAUGUGGAGGAGGAGGACUUCAAGGGUGCUUUCAAAUGAACUGAAUCAGAGGUUUACCCAACCCUGCUCUUUCAGAAGUUUCUGAAUAACGCACCAGCUUGAACCACUGGAAAGAAACAAAUAAAUGAGCUGGCAGCUUUCAUAGGGAGGAGCCUUGAAGCCCAGUUCCCAAGACCACGCCAACCAGCUCAGUGUGACAGCAUGCAGGAAUGAAAAUAGAAGCCAGCCUGAUCACCACUUGCCUUGGAGCAAAGGAUGGGCUUUACUCACCAAACUGCCAACAGCGUUGAUAUGUACAUCUGCUCAGCCACAUUCAGCACCCACCUGAGUUAAUGGAGUGAGACAGGGACUUCUGGGUAUUAAAUCACCUGGCCUACAGCAAAUGCCUAACUUGGGAUGAGAUUCGUAUCAUUCUCUAACAGCUGCAAAGAGCAUUUAGCUCUAGCUCAGAUGCAGGUCCCAUCCCAAGAGAGCAGUCAGAUGCUGAGCUGCUGCAACAAAUUAAAAGCAUAGUGGUUUUAUGCACACAAUUGGCCCUGUUCUUGUCCCUUAUCCUUGCCCACCUGUUUUGCCUUAUUCAAAGCUACCUCUUCCAACUGGUCCUAGAACAGCAAACCGUCUAGUGUUACUAUAAUGCCAAUAAGCAAAAAGAAUAUCAAGACCUCCCCAUGUGCACAAGAAGUGCUGCUCUACCACAAAGGCUUGAAGCAGAACUAGUUAGCCAAGAUCUUACACUUACACACAAAGUCGAGAAAGGGACCUUUGCAAACAUCUCUGCUUGUCUCCUGCAUUUACCGGCCAGUGUUUCACCCAGUAUAGUUCUGAACUUAGAAAACUACGUGAUUCCUCGGUAUAAUUACAGGUGCAGCUUCUAAACUUUAAUGUCUCCAAAGGAACAAUAAUUGCAACCCUUUCAAUAUUUUAUAUUUGCAGACAAGCAGAAUGAACUCAUUGGAAUCAGCAGGUGGUGUAUGUUCAGCUGCUCAGAGCAAUAUUCAGCUUGCCUAUUCCCAGUGAGGGCAGCUGACAUCAGAGAAGCAAUGCCCUGUGAAUGUACCAUUCAGUAGAUAGGAGAGCCCAGAGCUUGUAUGUUAGACAUGAAAGUGUUUUGUAACAUGCAGAUGGUUUCCAUGCAGAGACUGUGAAAGGUGAUGGCCAAGAUUUUGUAAAUCCUGUGCUGGUUUUUUAUGUUAUUUCUCUCUCACAUACCCCCAUUUCCUUGCCUUUCCUUGUAU
Struthio camelus australis is the source of this 3666-nucleotide long non-coding RNA. RefSeq lists it as uncharacterized. The record is from RefSeq and is a predicted model, not a curated record. Lineage: Eukaryota; Metazoa; Chordata; Aves; Struthioniformes; Struthionidae.